GCAUAUCAAUAAGCGGAGGAAAAGAAACCAACAGGGAUUGCCUCAGUAACGGCGAGUGAAGCGGCAACAGCUCAAAUUUGAAAUCUGGCCCCCAGGGUCCGAGUUGUAAUUUGUAGAGGAUGCUUUUGGUGAGGUGCCUUCCGAGUUCCCUGGAACGGGACGCCAUAGAGGGUGAGAGCCCCGUCUGGUUGGAUACCGAGCCUCUGUAAAGCUCCUUCGACGAGUCGAGUAGUUUGGGAAUGCUGCUCUAAAUGGGAGGUAUAUGUCUUCUAAAGCUAAAUAUUGGCCAGAGACCGAUAGCGCACAAGUAGAGUGAUCGAAAGAUGAAAAGCACUUUGAAAAGAGGGUUAAAAAGUACGUGAAAUUGUUGAAAGGGAAGCGCUCAUGACCAGACUUGGGCUUGGCGAAUCAUCCAGCGUUCUCGCUGGUGCACUUCGCCUCGUUCAGGCCAGCAUCAGUUCGUCCCGGGGGAUAAAAGCUUUGGGAACGUGGCUGCUUCGGCAGUGUUAUAGCCCGCUGCAUAAUACCCUGGGGUGGACUGAGGUUCGCGCUCCGCAAGGAUGCUGGCGUAAUGGUCAUCAGCGACCCGUCUUGAAACACGGACCAAGGAGUCGUCUUCGUAUGCGAGUGUUCGGGUGUCAAACCCCUACGCGUAAUGAAAGUGAACGCAGGUGAGAGCUUCGGCGCAUCAUCGACCGAUCCUGAUGUUCUCGGAUGGAUUUGAGUAAGAGCAUACGGGGCCGGACCCGAAAGAAGGUGAACUAUGCCUGUAUAGGGUGAAGCCAGAGGAAACUCUGGUGGAGGCUCGCAGCGGUUCUGACGUGCAAAUCGAUCGUCAAAUAUGGGCAUGGGGGCGAAAGACUAAUCGA
Molecule: ribosomal RNA, 869 nt
Filed under: Hypocreales sp. FY-2022d
Lineage: Eukaryota; Fungi; Ascomycota; Sordariomycetes; Hypocreales
Description: partial large subunit ribosomal RNA
Rfam family: Eukaryotic large subunit ribosomal RNA
Source: RNAcentral